Molecule: RNA transcript, 5782 nt
Organism: Dendronephthya gigantea
Lineage: Eukaryota; Metazoa; Cnidaria; Anthozoa; Malacalcyonacea; Nephtheidae
Gene name: kinesin-like protein KIN-5A
Exons: 25
Source: RefSeq, a predicted model, not a curated record
CUUCGAAAGAUUUGUAGUUGAUUCUAUGGAAAUUCUCGUUGCUAUUUGGCGAAUAGUUCGGAGGAAUACAACAAUCUUUGGGCAUUUAUCGCAGUAUUCCGACGACAGGCCGUUUAAUUGACACUGGAGAAAGAUUUAUAAAGCCUGGAGUGAAUUAUUUUGAGCGAACGGAAAGAUGAAAAGAACUGGCUCAAAACGACAAAAAUCAGGGGUGGUUAAGAUUGGACGAGCAACUGGCCGGGUAAAAUGCUUCAUUCGUGUACGUCCUAUGAAUGAUAGCGAAUUGGAAAGAGAAGAUGAAAAUGCAGUGGAAGUCUCAGCAGAUAAAAAAGAGGUUCUGGUCAAUGACACUAGAGUUGGUUUGGAUAAAACCUAUCAGUUCGAUCAUGUGUUCCCUCCAAAAACCACCAACCCACAGAUUUCGAAUUUUAUCAGCAAACCACUCGUGAAUGCGGCGUUAAACGGAUUUAAUGGAACCGUGAUGGCGUAUGGUCAAACUGGAUCAGGUAAAACCUACACCCUGAUGUCACCGGACGGAGUUGCGGCCACCAUUAUCGAAAAAAGCUUUCGAAAAAUGGCAUCUCAUGAGAAUCUACAAUAUAAAGUUUCGAUGUCGUACCUACAAAUUUAUCAAGAGAAAAUUUACGAUCUUCUAAACAAUGCUGCUUCAAGUAAAAUCGACUUGACCAUACGAGAACAUCCCCAGAAAGGAAUUUAUGUAGAAAAUCUUUCGGAAUAUGUCGUGCGUGGACCGGCGGAAGUUUACUCGCUCAUGGAAUUGGGGAAAAAGAGGUUGAUCUUUGCGGAGACGAAAAUGAAUCGGACCUCAAGCAGGUCGCAUUCCGUUUGCAUAUUAUCAAUUGAACGAAGCUCAAAGCACUCAGACAACGCCAAAACCUCUUCAACUUCUGGGAAGAAACAGUUUGACAAGAAACUCCAUGCAACUCUACUCUCUGAAGGUGUUGAAAGUCCUGCAAAAAUGGAUUUAUCGAAAUCAGUUCUAUCGGACGAGCAAUAUUCAAGUGAAAGUGACGAGGAAGACGAUGCCUUGACGAAAAUGAUGGCUUUCAAUGAAGAUGUUGUGCUUAAAGGACAUUUAUACAUCUGCGAUUUAGCAGGAAGUGAACGCAUAAAGAAAACAAACGCUGAAGGAGAAAGGCUGAGCGAAGCCCAACACAUCAAUUUUUCUUUACUGGAGCUCGGGAAUGUAAUUCAAGCUUUGGCCGAAAGUGCCGACACUGGUCGCGCCGGACAUAUUCCAUUCAGAAAUUCUACUUUGACAAGACUUCUGCAAGAAAGUUUAGGUGGCAAUUGCAAAACUAGCCUUAUCGUUUGUUGCUCCCCUUCAGAUAAUCACGUUCACGAGACAAAAUGCUCCUUGAAUUUUGGAUCCAGAGCGAUGAAAGUCAGAAAUACAGCUUAUGUAAACGUUGAGAUGGAUUACAAAAAGUUAAGCGACGAUUUGGCAAAACUUCUGGACGCCAAAGAUAAAGAAAUUGAGGAAUUAAAACUGAGCCAAAAACGUCAGCUGGAGUUGUCGAAAAAGGACGCCGAAUUGGCGGCUGAAAUGAAAUUUGGCGACGGUUUGAGCGAGGCAAGAAAAGCGUAUGCAGCUUUGAAGCAUUUAUUGGAUUCACAGGCAAGUGCUCAUGCGGAAAGCAUGGCAAAGCUACAGGCUGAACUUUCCCGCGAAAAGGACGCGAGACUUGCUCUUGAAGAGGAACUACAAAACAAACGUCAUUCGUCCAACGACAAACACAGCAGCACCAAAUCACUUCUCCUAACGGAAGUUUUAUCGAUGCAGUUAUAUUACGCCAUCGAAUGCACAGCCUGUCGUUCUGCGGAACUUAUGGAACAAGCAUCCAAGGAACUUUCGAGCGAAGAUGUCGCGAAAACUCAGGAGGAAAUACUUGAGAACGUCGACAAUCUUAUCGGAGUGUUAGGGACUUACUUAAACUUGACGGAAAGGGAGUUUUCUGAGGCGAGAAACGAGGAUUAUGUCAGCGACGAGGACAUAGAGUUUUCUGAAAAUGAUUUUGAAGGUAGGGUCGGAAGUUUGGAGACGCUCGUGGUUAAGAUUCGAAAACGACUGAAAGUUCUCAAAGAUAGCGUGGACGGCAGGACUUUGAGGUUUUUGAAUAAAGUCAUCGAAAAGCAAGAUCGUUCGUCAAUGGAAAACAUGAAGGAUGUCUAUCAUGUCCUACAAAAACUACUGGAAGCAAGAGAAGACUCGUCAGAUCCAGAAUUCUUGGGAAAUUCCCAGGAUGCAGAGCGAUGCCUUACGUACGUUUUGUUGGACAAAGCUCUGUUGUGUUGCCUGGUUGUUUUGGAACGAAAAACAUCGGAUAAAAAGCUUGUUGAACUUGGCAGAAAAUACGAAACGACUGUUCAAGAACUUGAGGUAAUCCGGCACAAGAAUAAGUCUUUGAAAAACGACAACGAAAGAUUGGUCGACAAACUCCGAGAACGCCGGGGCGAUACGAAUGUUCCCGACAGCCAGUCGGUCGAAGCGCUGUUGAUUCGAAAUUCGGGACUCAUGCUCGAGGUCAAGACCCUCCGAAAGAAGCUGGGGUCGAAAUGGAACGGCGGCGCGGGAACUGGAAACGACAUAGAGAUGGCGUACUGGCGUGAGCGAGUCGGCAAGUUGACAAAGGAGAAUGAGAAAUUAGAAUUCAUGAUGAAAGUGAUGGGAGAUAGAUUCAGCCAGGAUGAAGUGGUUAGGAAGCCAACAAGAGAGGCAUACACUCAGGUUUCCUCGAUUGAAGAAGAACCAAUCUCCCUGAAAGAAAGCAACAACAGUGCGACUCAAGGCGACGAUCCAAAAUCCGGGAAACUUAUUUCCACCUACGACAGCGAGACGAUAACGACGUCAUCUAGUACCAGGCCACCCGCGACCGUGCCCGGAGAACCAGAAGUCGAGAAGGUGAUAUCGUUCACUAGUGCCAAUCCAUCGGAUUCCAAAGACGACAGGAGAACGUCCGUAAGCAAGAUUGAGAAAGAAGAGUUCCGAGAACAUUUGCUAAAGAGCAAAAUGGAGUCGGAGAAAACGUUGAAGCAUCUUUUUGAGAUAAAGGUAGAUGAAACGUUGGAAUUCUUAGACAAAAAUUCGGAUAAAUCCAAGAAAUUAAACCGACUGGUCGACAGCGCCAUUGACAGCGCUGAACACACGAAUAUGAACGCGGAACUCAUCUUAACCAGUUCCAUGGAUGAUAUAGAAGCUCUGGAACGCGACAUCAGUGCGAUAAAGGUGAAUAACGAAGCGCUUGGACGACAAUGCUUGUCGCUCGUGAAAGAUCGCGCCACACUCGAAACGCUUUUGACUGACCUGCAUGGAGACAUCGCUGGCUUGCAGGAAAAAGUAGCACAGAAGAACACCUCAAAGAUUUCAGACUUUCCUACGGUGAAGAAGCAAGCUGGGUCGACGCAGGCUGAUGCUGAGAUAAAAACAGACGUUUACCGUAUAAAAACUACAUCAACAUCUCCGCCAUCAAUUCAAGUGCAAUCUUGGGAAACUGAAUCCGUAAAGAAAGUCAAUUUAAACGCAAAAACCCAGGAGUUCGAGACAAGAGAUUGUCAAACGGACGUGAGUUUUGUCACGGACAGUUCCAAUGAAUCUGGAGAAAGCGACGGACCCGAGGAUCAAUCUGGAGAUGCCAUCAAAACGGAUCUCGUUGUCGAAAAGCUUAGCAAAAAGUAUUCCUUGGUGAAACAACUUGUGAAGCACUUGGAAGGGGAGGUGAGGAAUUUCAAGAUAAAAACAACGGCUCUUGAAACUGAACUUAAAGAAAGACAACAUUUGAAAGACGAGAACAAACUGCUUGAGGAAGAGGUGAAGGAGUUACAAGGUUUAAAGAUUUACUUGGAAUCGCAGCUCGCCGAAGGAGAUAGUGCCGAGAAACCUGACAACUUUGGGGCAGUCGAAGAAGAGAGUAAUCUUAAAAAGUGGAAAAACUUUGGCAACGAGUCGUUCUCAGACCUCUCGUCGACCGGUCAUCUCUCGAGCAGUUCGCUGAACCUUACGUCAUUGCCAAGUUACACACCGCACUACCAAAGUAUGUCUCGAUCCAUGAUGGACCUCAGCGAACCACAGAUGUACACAAGCUUCAGCUCGUUGCGUUCUUCGCGUGGAAGUUUUGGUUCCCUGAAAAUGUUGAAGCUCGAAAUGGAAGGGAAACCUAGCCGCAUACGGGACAAGUUGAAAAGCGCUUCGCUUCUUUUGCAACACACCGGAUCCCUUGAAUCCCAGCUCAAAGCAUCCAGGCAAAAGUGUUUUAGGCUCGAAGGCGAAGUCUGUAAACUUGUGAAAGAGAAGAAAGAGAUAUCUGAAGAGUUGGAUAAAGUCAAGGCAAGAUUAAGAGCCGACGAAUCUGCCCAGGAUGUCGAAGUUGUUGACAAAGAAAAAUUGACAGACGCAUCUCUUUCUACGAGUUUAAAACCGAAACGGCGUUCGUUCAAAUUGCAUCGGGGCAAGGAAGAAAAGGAUAGGUUAAAAAAUGAACUAACUUUAGCAAGGGAACAAUUGACAAAGUUGAAAUCCCAGUUGGAAAUGGCGAAUACUUCGGUCAACGAUUCCGCGCCCGAUCGACGGCCGGGUUACUCCGAGCUUAGUGAGGACGAAAAAAGGCGGGAAAAGGAGCUGGCGUUGACACGUGAACGCUGCCUGAUUCUCGCAGAGGAACUGGGUGCCAGUAACAAGGAGAAGAUCAAGCUUGCCGAUGAUCUUCAAGAAGCAGUCGAGAAUAUAGAGGUGCUCGCAAACGAAGUGAAGAGAUUUGAAGGAUUGGAAGAAGAGAAGUUUCAAUUGCAGAAACGGGUUGAGGAAUUUGACAAGGAGACUGGGGUGAGACUGAGCGAAGUGCGUGCCAACGGUGAGAAUUUGGUCGAACUUCGGUCCGAAGUUGCGUCGCUUCUCGAGGAAAAGGCGAAUCUCGAGGAUUCCAUCUCGGAACUGAAAUGGGAGAAGGAACGUUUGAAUGAGAUGGAGAAUAUCGUGAAACGACUCGUUCAGGUCGAAAGGGAAAAGGGCCAUUUGGAGCAAGGAGAAAUAGAUUACGAGGUCUCCCAGGAAUGUGUCGAGUUGAUGAAGUUGCGUAAAGAUAACGAGGAUUUAAGAGAACAGCUUGCAAGCUUAAACGAAGCGAUGAUGGAGAGAGAUAUAGAGUUUGACAAAGGAAGCAAAAAUACACCUCUCACCCAGGUUCUUAGCGCUGUGAAAGAUGGCGGUCGAGAAGAAGGGAUAAACAAGGAUACGGAAGGGGUGAUACGGGAUCCAGAGGAGUAUCCGGUGGUAGCUGGGAACGCGGGCGCUCCGAGCCGACAAAGACACGUGCUGCGUUGAGUGAUCGAGAAGAUACACACGGACACAGAGAGCAGAGGAAUGAAUCCGAGAAAAAGUCAAAAAAACAAAGUGCUGGCAAGUCUAUUGAAACAUUAGCAAAGGUAAUUAGGUUAUCUAAAAUUUCGUAGGAGAACUACAUAAAGGCUUGGCUGAGGGACAUGCAACAAUAUAUCAAGACUAUAGAAUGUGAGAGUUUUUCUAGAUUAUAGUGCCAUAAUUGUUGCAACGCAGGGUAAAAUUUACUUUGCUAUCCAAGAUGCAAUUUGGAAUGCAACUUCCCUCUUCGACAUUGGCUAAAGCAAGUCAAAAUCCUUAAACAUUGAUGCAAAUAUUCAAUUAAUAGUAGGUUGAAUUGGAUUUCCAAAUCUAGAUACUAAAUAGAGCGAGCUAUAUGCAUGCAUAACAUAGUAAAUCCAAAUUGUAUAAUAUUUUAUAAUCAUUGAA